UCCAUUUUAAAUUGCCAACAAUCUGGAUAGAUUGUCAGCUACCAAACACAACCUUAGUUCUUUGUAUUUGAAAGGGCUUCAUGUGUUGGAACAGCAUAUUCUCCAGCAUAAUGCGAGAGUUGGACUAGAAGAAAGAGAAGAUCUCCACUUUUGAGAUAAGAAGGGGCUAAUCUCGACAAACUCCAGCCGGAGCAGAACCCUGUUUACCCAAGUGGCAAAGGGUGAUAAGUGAUAACAUUGGAGCAAGCGCUCAUUGGUCUCAUCUUAGAUACAUUAACCCUAACUAAAAGUGCCAUCCCUUCCAUUAGAUUCUCUGGAAAAGAUAAAGGUCCUCUGCAGUUCAUGGUGCAACUCGGGAGUUCCAAUUUCUCCCCCCCAAAUAUCUGUGAAUCGAGCAAGACAAUUGACCACAUCGCAUCAUCUAGCACGCAUUCAAUCAUGAUCAUCUUGCAGCAAAGUGAUGGUUGUGAUUGGGAGACUGGAUCUGUCCAUUUAAAAGUUCAAUAAGGGGUCUGCCCGAAAAAAGAAAAAAAAAACUUCAAUAAGAGAGAAUAACGAGAAAGAAAUGGUCAUACAGGCUAGACCAUGACUCGAGACAUUUGUGCUGCGGUAGAUCCUCGACGAAUUCCUGCCGCUUGGACGUGGUGGCGAGCGACAUCGCGGAACCUCGCCGCUUCCAACAAGCUUGGAUCC
This 693-nucleotide long non-coding RNA is filed under the name Elaeis guineensis (African oil palm). Its description in RNAcentral is "long non-coding RNA (EGUI_LNC025767)". The record is from RNAcentral. Lineage: Eukaryota; Viridiplantae; Streptophyta; Magnoliopsida; Arecales; Arecaceae.